This 29-nucleotide non-coding RNA is filed under the name Mus musculus (house mouse). Lineage: Eukaryota; Metazoa; Chordata; Mammalia; Rodentia; Muridae. The record is from RNAcentral.
UGUCCUACUCAUGGGUGGAGGGAUCUGGG